Molecule: long non-coding RNA, 321 nt
Filed under: Homo sapiens (human)
Lineage: Eukaryota; Metazoa; Chordata; Mammalia; Primates; Hominidae
Description: long non-coding RNA NONHSAT181385.1
Source: RNAcentral
AUUCGAUAGGAAAGUAUGAAGCAACUUUCUGUGCCAGGCACCGUGCUGGCUUUGCCCCGGGAUGGGUGAGGAAGCUGUGGAAAGAGCCAGUUGUUCGUGCAGGCAUGGAUGACUAACGUGAGAGAUGAAGAAGCCCUUUCUCUGGAGGCAGUCUUGAACUAGAUGAGCUCAUGGAGCCUUUGAAAAGCAUUCACCUGCUCAGGCCUCCUGCACUUGCAUCUUCAGCUCUGACCUUUCCACUGAGCUACAGGCUCACACCUACUUGUCGUCUCCAUCUGGAUAUCUACCAGGUGGAAGCUCUGUGACAGCAGAGACCUUCUC